UUGUAACAAUAGAAAAUAAAGAAAUCAAAUACAAUUGGAACAAUACAGAGAAGGUUAGCAUGGCCUUUGCACAAGGGUGACAUGCACAUUCAUGAAGCAUUCCAUAUUUAA
Pteronotus mesoamericanus is the source of this 111-nucleotide small nuclear RNA. Lineage: Eukaryota; Metazoa; Chordata; Mammalia; Chiroptera; Mormoopidae. The record is from RefSeq and is a predicted model, not a curated record.